CUUGCAGCAGAAUUUGGUGAGCACCCGCUAUGUGCCAGGCACUGUUCAGUGAACUGGGGGCUCGGAAGUGAAUGAGACCAUCUCACCAUGGAGAAAGGUUACAUCCACUCAAGGGAAACAAGUGUAAUAGUGUGUGUUUCAGACACAACCUGAAACCCAAAGAGGAACCUCUCCAAGGAACUGGCAGAUGCGAGCCUGGUGCCUCUAUGCCAGAUCCUCGAGAAACAUCCAUGAAAUGGCCCCAAGCAGCUUGCCUGGCUCUCCAAGUGUGUUGCCUUACAUGCAUCUCCAGAGUGAGAGGACUCGUUGCUGCUGCAGAUCUGUGAGUGCAGACUGUCGUCACUCACCUACUUCUUGUGUCAGCAAAGUCUUCUUCCUCUUCCCUCUUGCUCAUGAGACUAUUUUUCUGGAAACCAUUAAUAACCCCUGGAAAAUUGCACUUUCAACUCUCUUCCAAAGAACUAAAGACUGUUGUGCAAAUACUGAACCAAAAGGGGAAAACUCUUUGUAAAACAGUUAGGAGGGACUAAAGAGAAGCAGGAAACCGGUCAGGGAAGCUCUGGUAACUCCAGAUGCCUCUGUGGCCCCAUGAUAUCCACAAAGAAAGAAGCCUAAUAACCUGAGAUAGGUAACUGAGAGCUUUAGAGUUUCCAAAUUUAUUUAAUGUUGCACUGAUUGCUUGUCUUAGUAAAG
Molecule: long non-coding RNA, 693 nt
Organism: Sciurus carolinensis (gray squirrel)
Lineage: Eukaryota; Metazoa; Chordata; Mammalia; Rodentia; Sciuridae
Exons: 3
Source: RefSeq, a predicted model, not a curated record